AUGGAAGAAGUGGAUGGUAGAGUAUGGAGGCUUACGGGUUUGUAUGGAGAACCAAGCUGGGACAAUAAGAAUAAAACAUACCAGUUGAUCCGAGACCUUCAUGCCCACUCUAACUUACCGUGGGUUGUUAUUGGUGACUUCAAUGAAAUACUACCGUCGUCAGAAAAAGAAGGAGGAACCCAGCGGCAAAAGUCUAGGCUUAAAGCGUUCCAAGAUGCCCUGACAGACGGCUCCUUGGAGGAUAUUGGAUACCAUGGCGACAAAUUUACCUUUUUCAGAGGAGGGCUACGAGAAAGGUUGGAUUGAGCAGUAUCAAAUCCGGGAUGGAUGGAUAUGCAUCCUCUAUGUGGUCUUGUAAACCUGGAUAUGGGCAAGUCGGACCACAUACCUAUA
Molecule: ribosomal RNA, 393 nt
Filed under: Triticum aestivum (bread wheat)
Lineage: Eukaryota; Viridiplantae; Streptophyta; Magnoliopsida; Poales; Poaceae
Description: partial small subunit ribosomal RNA
Source: RNAcentral